RNAcentral lists this ribosomal RNA (307 nucleotides) under uncultured eukaryote. RNAcentral's name for it is "partial 18S ribosomal RNA". It matches the Rfam family "Eukaryotic small subunit ribosomal RNA", at positions 1470 to 1796 of the family's 1831-position model. The record is from RNAcentral.
CCCUUAGACGUUCUGGGCCGCACGCGCGCUACACUGACACAGGCAACGAGCUUUCCUUUACCGAAAGGUAUGGGUAAUCUUUUGAAACUGUGUCGUGCUGGGGAUAGAUCCUUGCAAUUUUUGAUCUUAAACGAGGAAUUCCUAGUAAGCGCGAGUCAUCAACUCGCGUUGAUUACGUCCCUGCCCUUUGUACACACCGCCCGUCGCUACUACCGAUUGAAUGGCUUAGUGAGGCCUCAGGAUCCGCGCUUAAUGUGUGGAGAAUUUGGACAAACUACGUCAUUUAGAGGAAGUAAAAGCCGUAACA